ACAAAGUUAAGGUAGCAUGAGUAAAGAUACAUAUUCACCAAGUUUUAUGACAUAAACAUCAGUGUGAUAAUGUGGGCAACCUAUUUCUUUCAAGGCAUAGAAUAGUCUCCGUUUGUAUUAUUGUCAGUUUGAGAUACCUGAUUUAUUAUGUAUAGCAUGCAAUAUGUUGGUGUAAUCACUUGAGGGUUUGUUAUUUGUAACGCUAGGUUCAUGUUCCUAAGUGCGUACUUCCAGCACGAUAAGAAAACAAACUAACAAUAACUUAGGAAUUAUAAACAUCGGUCAUGCAACCAGCUAGGUACAGGAAGCACACCAGAAAACCACGAAACAAAAAGAAAUUGUAAUUAAAAAGAAAUUAAAAACAGUGGAAUGAUCUUCCCAGUCUCAUCGUAUGCAGCAGUUAUGAUACGAAACUCGACGUUAUUUGUAUAAUGAGAUGAAGGCGACCAAUCUCAAGUAGGGCGCCGGGGAGACAUGGAGCAAAAUAUGCUAAAGUGCUAAACUAGGCAGGUCUUGCCCGACAAAAACACAUUUCAAAGUGACUUCAUGUGCAUAGCCAGCCGUGCACACAAAAAAGCGUUCAUACAUAUCAUACUAAUAUAGUACUAAACCAAAUAGUGCACCAAAUAUUAGUCAUGUUUCAUUAAUGAACAACAAUAAGCAUUUCAUUAGAGUUUCAAAGGGUAUCAAAGACAGCGACGGAUAUUCGUGAGGUACUAUGAAACGUGUUAUAACUGCGCACAUAUUAAAAUAGUAUGUUUAACACAAUAACGGCUACAAAGCGUUACAAAGUAUCGCUGGAGCAUAUUUUUGUGUUAAAACACAAUUAAACUUUGAUCAUUCAAAAUUCAAAGAAAAUUAGAGGCUAUAUUUGUAAAACAUUAGACCUCGUGAGGUAAAUAAAUUGCCCAUAAUAAACGCAACCAUCAACAGGGGUCAAAACAAGCUUAUUUAUUGCUAGUGGCAUUUACACAUAAUCGACCAGUACAUUUUGUGUAGUAAAUUGGCUGCAUCUACUAACUUUCAAUUGAUGUCAUAAGUAUAUUUUUAUCUCGUAGACCUAUGCGCAUUCGGUACGGGCGGAUUUCAUACUUUUUUACGGUCUAAAAUUCAGAACUAUCAGUUUUCGGAGCAAGGUAAGUAAUCUGUUAUCUCUUAUUUUAGUUUAAUUUAUACAACAGAUUACUAUGCGUCGGUGACAGCUUUCCACCUGGUGGGGAGGGUAAUAAUAGUUUGCUUCGCUCCCAGUUCAGCCGGGAGUAACUAAUUGUCCAACGGCGUCGGUCAAGGAUACUCAUGGCUAGUGUACCCUGGUAUAGGUCUACGAGAUCAAAAUAUUUCGUUUGUUGUAUUUUUUUUUCUCGCGAAUUUCUACAGGAUUUGAGUGCUACCGAAACCUUGUUUCUUUCCUUAGUAGGGUGAGUGAAGAAAACCACCCCCAAAUCGUUAUUAGGCAUACAUUAGACAACAACAAGACAUACGUCCUUAGUUUUAAGCAAUUUCAUUGGCAAAAUUUCACAAAAAAUAGCUACUUCAAUUGUUUUACCUCUAAGAACAGCCGAUUCCAAGCUACGAACAAGCUUCAAAACCAUUGCCUGGGCUACCUGUGAUCACACUCUCGCAAGUAAUGUGUAAAAAAAGACGCACUUCCUUGUAAAAGCGAUAUACGUUUUAACAUCAUUAGCAGGAAAGAAUGGCAAUUAUAUUAGAAUAAAUUCCACAUAAGUGUGCAAAAGAAUUAUCUGGUCACAAGUCUAGGGGGGAUUCUUAUGGGGGAACUAAAAAAAAACAAAGGCAGUCUGAUAGGAAAUAGUGACCUUUUUCAAAAUUCUUAUAGCCAUGUAUAAAUGAUAGACUUAAUAAGGCAGCAACGAAAAAAAUAAUGCCUUUACAGCUCCGAAGCUUUUGAAGCAAUGCAGCAAUUUCGAAGUUUCUUGAAGCUUUCGUGUGAGCGCGCGAUGAGGGAGUACUUAAUUGUCAUUAAAAAAAGGUGCGGCCGACGCAGAAUCUUGCGCCUCCUACAUCAAUAGAAAUAACUAGUUAUUUGAAUAAACAAAGCAAACCUGUACGUUUGGAUCACCGCAAUUGACGUCUUAAACAUAGCAGACGACAGCAGGUAGAUUAAGACUGAUAACAGAAAUGUUAAAGACGAAAGGCAUCUAAACAAUUAAAAAAAUGCAUGGUUGAAAGUCAGGAUCUACAGUUUAAAUGAAUACUUGAUCUAUUUAUUGACAAAAAAAAUUACAAAAAAUAAAAGAAAGUAUUGUUA
This is a long non-coding RNA of Nematostella vectensis (starlet sea anemone), 2269 nucleotides long. RefSeq lists it as uncharacterized. The record is from RefSeq and is a predicted model, not a curated record. The transcript has 2 exons. Lineage: Eukaryota; Metazoa; Cnidaria; Anthozoa; Actiniaria; Edwardsiidae.